GUGCAGCAGGCGCGAAAACUUUACAAUGUGCGAAAGCACGAUAAGGGAACUCUGAGUGCCUCCUAAGGAGGCUGUUCAGGUGUCUAAAAGCACCUGAAGGAAGGGCUGGGUAAGACCGGUGCCAGCCGCCGCGGUAACACCGGCAGCCCAAGCGGUAGCCACGUUUAUUGGGUCUAAAGCGUCCGUAGCCGGCUGGGUAAGUUCCUUGGGAAAUUUGGCUGCUUAACAGUCAAGCUUUCAGGGAAUACUGCCCGGCUUGGGGACCGGGAGAGGUCAGAGGUACUCCAGGGGUAGGGGUGAAAUCCAUUAAUCCUUGGGGGACCACCGGUAGCGAAGGCGUCUGACCAGACCGGGUCCGACGGUGAGGGACGAAGGCUAGGGGCGCGAACCGGAUUAGAUACCCGUGUAGU
This 410-nucleotide ribosomal RNA is filed under the name uncultured microorganism. RNAcentral describes it as "bacterial SSU rRNA". It matches the Rfam family "Archaeal small subunit ribosomal RNA", at positions 330 to 745 of the family's 1478-position model. The record is from RNAcentral.